This 1780-nucleotide long non-coding RNA is filed under the name Pan troglodytes (chimpanzee). RNAcentral describes it as "long non-coding RNA NONPTRT004965". The record is from RNAcentral. Lineage: Eukaryota; Metazoa; Chordata; Mammalia; Primates; Hominidae.
CGGCAGUAAGUCAGCUACUCCAGGGCAGGUGUUGUGAGGCAUAGAGGGGGCACGGGAGGUGGGUUGGGGUGUUGAAGGAUGGCACGUGUUGUUUGAAUAAAAGUAUAAAUGAACAAAUAAAUGAGACGGCCCAGUGCUCCUGCAGGGAAUGCUGUUUUUAUUUGUUUUUUUGUUUGUUUGUUUGAGACAGAGUCUCACUCUGUCCCCCAGGCUGGAGUGCAGUGGCACGAUCUCCGCUCCCUGCAACCUCCGCCUCCCGGGUUCAAGCGAUUCUCCUGCCUCAGCCUCCCCAGUAGCUGGGAUGACAGGCGCCCAUCACCACGCCCGGCUAUUUUUUUGUAUUUUUAGUAGAGACGGGGUUUCACUAUGUUGGCCAGGCAGAUCUUGAACUCCUGACCUCCUGAUCUGUCAGCCUCAGCCUCCCAAAGUGCUGAGAUUACAGGCGUGAGCCACCGUGCCCAGCCUGGGAACACUGUUUUUAGGGUUCUUAACAGCCAUACGCCUCUUGGCUUGUGCGCGUCUCGGCUUGCGGGUAAAGGCCAGGCGCCCCGCUGCGUGCCUCGGGCCGUGCCUCGUGAUCUCCUCAGAAGGCUCUCAAGGUCACCUUUUAACAACUGCAUCUUUUUUCCAGUAACGAAUCCAGAAAACUCUGGAGAGCCCUUCAGAGCAUACACACCACGUCUACUUCUCAGCGCCUCUGGAGCGAGUCCCGUUGCCAGGAGAACUUCUUUCUUGUUCUUGGAAUAGAUGCUGCGCAGAAGAACCUUUCUGGAGGCCAGGGCCACAUCAUGGAAGAUUGUGACCUCAAAGAGCCUGAAGGACUCCUCACUGUCAGCAGCUUCUGUCUCCAGCAUUGCAAAGCCCUGAUCCAGACCAAGCUCUCGGGGCCGCCUGGCAGCAAACAGGGGAGGCUGAUGACAUGCAGCCGCUUCCUGAAGACCCCCUCAUGCGGAGGUGGCCAGCACAUCACUAUUCCAAGGAAAAGGAUGUUCACUCCACGCAAGCUCAAAUUGACACUCUUUAAUAGCGACGUUUGCUAAAAUCAGGAGGACUUUGUACCUUUAUGAGGAAUUUUUCAUUUUCUUCCUGGCUGGAUUGAUGUGGAAACCAGAGCUGUCUGUGGAGCUGUUUUCCAGACCCCAGGCCCAUUCCUGGGAUCUCUCCAACAGGACCUGUCCUGUGUUCUGGGCUCGUCUCGGGUCUGACCAGGAGAUGGAGGAUGUGUCCUUGGCAGAGCCAAGGGGAGACAGAGGUUUCUGGGUGCCAUGACAGGCUGUCGGGGUCCAGGUGGCACCCAUGGGCCCCCUGCCCCAUGUGAAUGCUGCUGGCACCUGGUGGGGGUUGCUCAGGGAUGGACCCUGGGCAUGGCUUCUGGGCUGCUUAGUCCAGGGGGAGCAACUUGUGGCCAAAUCCAUGAGUUCAGAGGAAAAGGGGAAGGCACUGAAACGUCACCAGAGAGACAGCUGUUGAGACCGCUCAGAAACCGUCUGUCUGUCACACUGUGUCCUGGCUGCUGUGUGGUCAGGGCACCAUGAGGGUGUACAGAUGUGCUGUGUCCUCAAAGCCUCGCAGGUGCCCUCACUUAUUGCCUGGGCCCCUGCCCAGCAGCCUCAAGGACAGGCCUUUCUCCCUCACGGUUGUGGACAGGAGGUCGCACCACUGGCCUGCGAGAGCCUCUGGUGGGCCCGUGGCUUCCCCCAGUUAUCUGCCAAGGAAAACUGUGCUCUUUGAAGGGCAGAGCCAAGAAGUCAGCCCUGACUUUUGUAAAAUUUUAUUAAAU